UACGUAGGGGGCAAGCGUUGUUCGGAAUUACUGGGCGUAAAGGGCGCGUAGGCGGCACAGCAAGUCGGGCGUGAAAGCCCGGGGCUCAACCCCGGAAUGUCUUUCGAAACUGCUGAGCUCGAGUGCGGAAGAGGCAACUGGAAUUCCCAGUGUAGCGGUGAAAUGCGUAGAUAUUGGGAAGAACACCUGAGGCGAAGGCGGGUUGCUGGGCCGACACUGACGCUGAGGCGCGAAAGCCAGGGGAGCGAACGGG
Molecule: ribosomal RNA, 253 nt
Filed under: uncultured bacterium
Lineage: Bacteria
Description: partial 16S ribosomal RNA
Rfam family: Bacterial small subunit ribosomal RNA
Source: RNAcentral